RNAcentral lists this ribosomal RNA (348 nucleotides) under Archeocrypticus sp. CO1016. RNAcentral's name for it is "partial 12S ribosomal RNA". The record is from RNAcentral. Lineage: Eukaryota; Metazoa; Arthropoda; Insecta; Coleoptera; Archeocrypticidae.
UAUAAAUGUAAUUAAUAAAAUUAAAAUUAUUAUGAGUUAUGAUCUUUAAAAUUAAAAAUUUUGGCGGUAUUUUAGUCUAUUCAGAGGAACCUGUCUUAUAAUUGAUAGUCCACGAUUUAUGGUACUUUAUUUUUAAAUUUAUAUAUCGUCGUAGUUUGAAUAUUUUAUUAGAAUUAUAAUAUUCAAAAAAUUUAAUUAAAUGAGAAUUCAGAUCAAGAUGUAGUUUAUAGUAAAGAAAAGAUGGGUUACAUUAAAUUUAUUUUUAGUUCAUUAAUUGAAAAUUAAUAAUAAAUUGGAUUUGAAAGUAAUUUUAUAUUUUUUAUAAAGUGAUUAUGCUCUAAAAUAUGU